RNAcentral lists this ribosomal RNA (426 nucleotides) under uncultured bacterium. RNAcentral's name for it is "bacterial SSU rRNA". It matches the Rfam family "Bacterial small subunit ribosomal RNA", at positions 354 to 796 of the family's 1533-position model. The record is from RNAcentral.
GCAAGGAAUAUUGCGCAAUGGGCGAAAGCCUGACGCAGCGACGCCGCGUGAGGGAUGAAGGCCUUCGGGUUGUAAACCUCUUUUCCCAGGGAAGAAUAAUGACGGUACCUGAGGAAUAAGCCAUGGCUAACUACGUGCCAGCAGCAGCGGUAAAACGUGGGUGGCAAGCGUUAUCCGGAUUUAUUGGGCGUAAAGAGAGCGCAGGUGGUUUGGCAAGUCUGAUGUUAAAUCUCCCGGCCUAACUGGGAGGGAUCAUUGGAAACUGCUAAACUCGAGGGCGACAGAGGAAAGCGGAACUCCCGGUGUAGUGGUGAAAUGCGUAGAUAUCGGGAAGAACACCAGUGGCGAAGGCGGCUUUCUGGGUCGUUUCUGACACUUAAGCUCGAAGGCGUGGGGAGCAAACAGGAUUAGAUACCCCUGUAGUCC